Molecule: ribosomal RNA, 440 nt
Filed under: Bacillus pumilus
Lineage: Bacteria; Bacillati; Bacillota; Bacilli; Caryophanales; Bacillaceae
Description: bacterial SSU rRNA
Rfam family: Bacterial small subunit ribosomal RNA
Source: RNAcentral
GGAUCGUAAAAGUAACUGCUCGCACCUUGACGGUACCUAACCAGAAAGCCACGGCUAACUACGUGCCAGCAGCCGCGGUAAUACGUAGGUGGCAAGCGUUGUCCGGAAUUAUUGGGCGUAAAGGGCUCGCAGGCGGUUUCUUAAGUCUGAUGUGAAAGCCCCCGGCUCAACCGGGGAGGGUCAUUGGAAACUGGGAAACUUGAGUGCAGAAGAGGAGAGUGGAAUUCCACGUGUAGCGGUGAAAUGCGUAGAGAUGUGGAGGAACACCAGUGGCGAAGGCGACUCUCUGGUCUGUAACUGACGCUGAGGAGCGAAAGCGUGGGGAGCGAACAGGAUUAGAUACCCUGGUAGUCCACGCCGUAAACGAUGAGUGCUAAGUGUUAGGGGGUUUCCGCCCCUUAGUGCUGCAGCUAACGCAUUAAGCACUCCGCCUGGGGAGU